GACGAACCGUCCAAACGUUGUUCGGAAUCACUGGGCUUAAAGGGCGCGUAGGCGGGUCAUCAAGUCGGGGGUGAAAUCUUUCAGCUCAACUGGAAAAGAGCUUCCGAUACUGGUGGUCUCGAGGGAGGUAGGGGUCGAUGGAACUUCCGGUGGAGCGGUGAAAUGCGUAGAUAUCGGAAGGAACGCCGGUGGCGAAAGCGAUCGACUGGACCUUUUCUGACGCUGAGGCGCGAAAGCCAGGGGAGCAAACGGG
Molecule: ribosomal RNA, 253 nt
Filed under: uncultured bacterium
Lineage: Bacteria
Description: partial 16S ribosomal RNA
Rfam family: Bacterial small subunit ribosomal RNA
Source: RNAcentral